Molecule: ribosomal RNA, 1504 nt
Filed under: Helicobacter pylori
Lineage: Bacteria; Pseudomonadati; Campylobacterota; Epsilonproteobacteria; Campylobacterales; Helicobacteraceae
Description: bacterial SSU rRNA
Rfam family: Bacterial small subunit ribosomal RNA
Source: RNAcentral
UUUAUGGAGAGUUUGAUCCUGGCUCAGAGUGAACGCUGGCGGCGUGCCUAAUACAUGCAAGUCGAACGAUGAAGCUUCUAGCUUGCUAGAAUGCUGAUUAGUGGCGCACGGGUGAGUAACGCAUAGGUCAUGUGCCUCUUAGUUUGGGAUAGCCAUUGGAAACGAUGAUUAAUACCAGAUACUCCCUACGGGGGAAAGAUUUAUCGCUAAGAGAUCAGCCUAUGUCCUAUCAGCUUGUUGGUAAGGUAAUGGCUUACCAAGGCUAUGACGGGUAUCCGGCCUGAGAGGGUGAACGGACACACUGGAACUGAGACACGGUCCAGACUCCUACGGGAGGCAGCAGUAGGGAAUAUUGCUCAAUGGGGGAAACCCUGAAGCAGCAACGCCGCGUGGAGGAUGAAGGUUUUAGGAUUGUAAACUCCUUUUGUUAGAGAAGAUAAUGACGGUAUCUAACGAAUAAGCACCGGCUAACUCCGUGCCAGCAGCCGCGGUAAUACGGAGGGUGCAAGCGUUACUCGGAAUCACUGGGCGUAAAGAGCGCGUAGGCGGGAUAGUCAGUCAGGUGUGAAAUCCUAUGGCUUAACCAUAGAACUGCAUUUGAAACUACUAUUCUAGAGUGUGGGAGAGGUAGGUGGAAUUCUUGGUGUAGGGGUAAAAUCCGUAGAGAUCAAGAGGAAUACUCAUUGCGAAGGCGACCUGCUGGAACAUUACUGACGCUGAUUGCGCGAAAGCGUGGGGAGCAAACAGGAUUAGAUACCCUGGUAGUCCACGCCCUAAACGAUGGAUGCUAGUUGUUGGAGGGCUUAGUCUCUCCAGUAAUGCAGCUAACGCAUUAAGCAUCCCGCCUGGGGAGUACGGUCGCAAGAUUAAAACUCAAAGGAAUAGACGGGGACCCGCACAAGCGGUGGAGCAUGUGGUUUAAUUCGAAGAUACACGAAGAACCUUACCUAGGCUUGACAUUGAGAGAAUCCGCUAGAAAUAGUGGAGUGUCUAGCUUGCUAGACCUUGAAAACAGGUGCUGCACGGCUGUCGUCAGCUCGUGUCGUGAGAUGUUGGGUUAAGUCCCGCAACGAGCGCAACCCCCUUUCUUAGUUGCUAACAGGUCAUGCUGAGAACUCUAAGGAUACUGCCUCCGUAAGGAGGAGGAAGGUGGGGACGACGUCAAGUCAUCAUGGCCCUUACGCCUAGGGCUACACACGUGCUACAAUGGGGUGUACAAAGAGAAGCAAUACUGCGAAGUGGAGCCAAUCUUCAAAACACCUCUCAGUUCGGAUUGUAGGCUGCAACUCGCCUGCAUGAAGCUGGAAUCGCUAGUAAUCGCAAAUCAGCCAUGUUGCGGUGAAUACGUUCCCGGGUCUUGUACUCACCGCCCGUCACACCAUGGGAGUUGUGUUUGCCUUAAGUCAGGAUGCUAAAUUGGCUACUGCCCACGGCACACACAGCGACUGGGGUGAAGUCGUAACAAGGUAACCGUAGGUGAACCUGCGGUUGGAUCACCUCCUUU